GAUGAACGCUGGCGGCGUGCCUAAUACAUGCAAGUCGAGCGAACGGACGAGAAGCUUGCUUCUCUGAUGUUAGCGGCGGACGGGUGAGUAACACGUGGAUAACCUACCUAUAAGACUGGGAUAACUUCGGGAAACCGUAGCUAAUACCGGAUAAUAUUUUGAACCGCAUGGUUCAAAAGUGAAAGACGGUCUUGCUGUCACUUAUAGAUGGAUCCGCGCUGCAUUAGCUAGUUGGUAAGGUAACGGCUUACCAAGGCAACGAUGCAUAGCCGACCUGAGAGGGAGAUCGGCCACACUGGAACUGAGACACGGUCCAGACUCCUACGGGAGGCAGCAGUAGGGAAUCUUCCGCAAUGGGCGAAAGCCUGACGGAGCAAAGCCGCGUGAGUGAUGAAGGUCUUCGGAUCGUAAAACGCUGUUAUUAGGGAAGAACAUAUGUGUAAGUAACUGUGCACAUCUUGACGGUACCUAAUCAGAAAGCCACGGCUAACUACGUG
RNAcentral lists this ribosomal RNA (497 nucleotides) under uncultured bacterium. RNAcentral's name for it is "partial 16S ribosomal RNA". It matches the Rfam family "Bacterial small subunit ribosomal RNA", at positions 28 to 507 of the family's 1533-position model. The record is from RNAcentral.